This 105-nucleotide small RNA is filed under the name Marmota monax (woodchuck). Lineage: Eukaryota; Metazoa; Chordata; Mammalia; Rodentia; Sciuridae. The record is from RNAcentral.
GCCAGGUAUGGUGACUCAUCCCUGUAAUCCCAGAAACUUGGGAAGCUGAGGCAGGAGGAUUGCAAUUUGAGGCCAACUGGACAACUUAGCAGGACCCUGUCUCAA